This is a regulatory RNA element of Halothermothrix orenii H 168, 156 nucleotides long. It matches the Rfam family "Ribosomal protein L10 leader". Rfam says of the family: This family is a putative r-protein leader autoregulatory structure found in B. subtilis and other low-GC Gram-positive bacteria. It is located in the 5' untranslated regions of mRNAs encoding ribosomal proteins L10 and L12 (rplJ-rplL). A Rho-independent transcription terminator structure that is probably involved in regulation is included at the 3' end. The record is from Rfam. NCBI's taxonomy places the organism in Bacteria, Bacillati, Bacillota, Clostridia, Halanaerobiales, Halothermotrichaceae.
CAGAAUAGCCGUUCUUAACCGUAGACAGCAGGGGUCAAAAAGACUUAAUAAUCCUGCCGAGGUUAAUGGUUUGUUUGAUGGGGUUUUUCAUAACCAUGCCCCGGAUAGCCAGUCAUUACUACCUCCUGUCUAUAGGGAGGUUUUUUUAAUGCAGUU